UGGAACUCCAUGUGUAGCGGUGGAAUGCGUAGAUAUAUGGAAGAACACCAGUGGCGAAGGCGGCUGUCUAGUCUGUAACUGACGCUGAGGCUCGAAAGCAUGGGUAGCGAACAGGAUUAGAUACCCUGGUAGUCCAUGCCGUAAACGAUGAGUGCUAAGUGUUGGAGGGUUUCCCCCUUCAGUGCUGCAGCUAACGCAUUAAGCACUCCGCCUGGGGAGUACGACCGCAAGGUUGAAACUCAAAGGAAUUGACGGGGGCCCGCACAAGCGGUGGAGCAUGUGGUUUAAUUCGAAGCUACGCGAAGAACCUUACCAGGUCUUGACAUCUUCUGCCAAUCUUAGAGAUAAGACGUUCCCUUCGGGGACAGAAUGACAGGUGGUGCAUGGUUGUCGUCAGCUCGUGUCGUGAGAUGUUGGGUUAAGUCCCGCAACGAGCGCAACCCUUAUUAUCAGUUGCCAGCAUUCAGUUGGGCACUCUGGUGAGACUGCCGGUGACAAACCGGAGGAAGGUGGGGAUGACGUCAAAUCAUCAUGCCCCUUAUGACCUGGGCUACACACGUGCUACAAUGGACGGUACAACGAGUCGCGAAGUCGUGAGGCUAAGCUAAUCUCUUAAAGCCGUUCUCAGUUCGGAUUGUAGGCUGCAACUCGCCUACAUGAAGUUGGAAUCGCUAGUAAUCGCGGAUCAGCAUGCCGCGGUGAAUACGUUCCCGGGCCUUGUACACACCGCCCGUCACACCAUGAGAGUUUGUAACACCCAAAGCCGGUGAGAUAACCUUCGGGAGUCAGCCGUCUAAGGUGGGACAGAUGAUUAGGGUGAAGUCGUAACAAGGUAACCA
RNAcentral lists this ribosomal RNA (839 nucleotides) under uncultured Lactobacillus sp. RNAcentral's name for it is "bacterial SSU rRNA". It matches the Rfam family "Bacterial small subunit ribosomal RNA", at positions 662 to 1502 of the family's 1533-position model. The record is from RNAcentral. Lineage: Bacteria; Bacillati; Bacillota; Bacilli; Lactobacillales; Lactobacillaceae.